AGAGAAUAGAUACCCCGGUAGUCCAUGCUGUAAACGAUGGAUGCUAGCUGUGAUGCGUAUCGACCCGCGUCGUAGCGAAGCUAACGCGUUAAGCAUCCCGCCUGUGGAGUACGGCCGCAAGGCUAAAACAUAAAGGAAUUGACGGGGACCCGCACAAGCGGUGGAGCGUGUUGUUUAAUUCGAUGGUAAGCGAAGAACCUUACCCAGGUUUGACAUCCUUGGAAGUUCUGCGAAAGCAGAGUGUGCCUUCGGGAACCAAGUGACAGGUGAUGCAUGGCCGUCUUCAGCUCGUGUCGUGAGACGUUAGGUUAAGUCCUUCAACGAGCGCAACCCUUAUAGUUAGUUGUAUUUUCUAGCUAGACUGCCCUGGUAACAGGGAGGAAGGAGGGGACGAUGUCAGGUCAGUAUCUCCCUUAUAUCUGGGGCUACAAACACGCUACAAUGGCCGGUACAAAGGGAAGCCAACCCGCGAGGGGAGCAAAUCCCAUCAAAGCCGGUCUCAGUUCGGAUUGUAGGCUGAAACUCGCCUGC
RNAcentral lists this ribosomal RNA (531 nucleotides) under uncultured bacterium. RNAcentral's name for it is "bacterial SSU rRNA". It matches the Rfam family "Bacterial small subunit ribosomal RNA", at positions 773 to 1319 of the family's 1533-position model. The record is from RNAcentral.